Molecule: ribosomal RNA, 2884 nt
Filed under: Ochromonas sp. CCMP1393
Lineage: Eukaryota; Chrysophyceae; Chromulinales; Chromulinaceae
Description: bacterial LSU rRNA
Rfam family: Bacterial large subunit ribosomal RNA
Source: RNAcentral
UUAAGAAAUUAAGAGCUUGUAAAGGAUCCCUUGGUAUCCAGAAGCGAUGAAGGACGUGGCUACCAGCGAAAUGCUUCGGGGAGUUGGAAGUAAACUUUGAUCCGGAGGUCUCCGAAUGAGGAAACUCUACAUCUUUUUACUGAAUUUAUAAGUAAAAAAGAGCAAACUCAGGGAAUUGAAACAUCUUAGUACCUGAAGGAAAAGAAAGUAAAAACGAUUCCCUUAGUAGUGGCGAACGAAACGGGAACAGCCUAAACCAUCAUAGCCUUUUAGGUAUGGCGGGGUUGUGGGAUAAACAUAAGAAAGUUAAUAUAAACUUUAUAAAAAAUUAGGUGAAUUAGUUGGAAAGCUAUACCAUAGAAAGUGAUAGUCUUGUAACCGAAAAUUUUUUCAUUUUAUUUAUACCCGAGUAGCAUGGGGCACGUGGAAUCCCGUGUGAAUCUGCGAGGACCACCUCGUAAGGCUAAAUAUUCCUGGAUGUCCGAUAGUGAAAUAGUACCGCGAGGGAAAGGUGAAAAGAACCCCGGGAGGGGAGUGAAAUAGAACGUGAAAUUGCAAGCUUACAAAUAGAAGGAGAACGACUUAGCGUUUGACUUCGUGCCUGUUGAAGAAUGUUCCGGCGAGUUAUAGUUAGUGGCAGGUUAAGAUAGAGAUAUCGGAGCCAGAGUGAAAGCGAGCUUGAAUAGAGCGUUAGUCACUAGUUAUAGACCCGAACCCGCUUGAUCUAACCAUGGCCAGGAUGAAACUUAGGUAAUACUAAGUGGAGGUCCGAACCGACUAAUGUUGAAAAAUUAGCGGAUGAGUUGUGGUUAGGGGUGAAAUGCCAAUCGAAAGCGGAGCUAGCUGGUUCUCCCCGAAAUGUAUUUAGGUACAGCGGUUAAUGUUUCAGCGUAGGGGUAAAGCACUGUUUCGGUGCGGGCUGGUAAUUCGGUACCAAAUCGAGGCAAACUCUGAAUACUACGUGUAUAGUUAACCAGUGAGACUAUGGGGGAUAAGCUUCAUAGUCAAGAGGGAAACAGCCCAGAUCACCAGCUAAGGCCCCCAAAUAAUUACUAAGUGGUAAAGGUAGUGGAAAGGCUUAGACAACCAGGAGGUUUGCUUAGAAGCAGCAAUCCUUUAAAAAGUGCGUAAUAGCUUACUGGUCCAGCAGUUCUGCGCCGAAAAUUUAUGGGACUAAGUAAUUUGCCGAAGCUGUGAGAUAUAUAAAUUUAUAUAUCGGUAGGGGAGCGUUCCAUUGUAGGCUGAAGUAUUAGCGAAAGCGGAUAUGGACGAAAUGGAAGUGAGAAUGUCGGAUUGAGUAGCGAAAACAUUGGUGAGAAUCCAAUGCUCCGAAACCCUAAGGUUUCCUCCGCAAGGUUCGUCCACGGAGGGUUAGUCAGGUCCUAAGGUGAGGCUGAGAAGCGUAAUUGAUGGAAAAUAGGUUAAUAUUCCUAUACUGAUCAUUGUUGGUAUCGAGGGACGAAGAAGGCUAGGUUAGCCGGAUAGUGGUUACCGGUUCAAGUAGACGAGGUGUUGAAAAAUAGAGAAAAUAUUUUGAGCUAAGCUACGAGUACAAGAUUCUUAGAAAUCAAAGUAAUUGAUGUCAUACUUCCAAGAAAAGCUCGCAAUGCCUUAAACAAUGAUUACCUGUACCUGAAACCGACACAGGUAGGGAGGUAGAGAAUACCAAGGAGCGCGGGAGAACCCUCCUUAAGGAACUCGGCAAAAUAGCUCUGUAACUUCGGAAGAAAGAGUGCCCAUAGGGCUGCAAUAUCAAGUUCCAAGCAACUGUUUAGCAAAAACACAGGUCUCCGCUAAGUUGUAAAACGACGUAUGGGGGCUGACGCCUGCCCAGUGCCGGAAGGUUAAAGAAGUCGGUUAGCUUUGGCAAAGCUGAUAACUGAAGCCCCGGUGAACGGCGGCCGUAACUAUAACGGUCCUAAGGUAGCGAAAUUCCUUGUCGGGUAAGUUCCGACCCGCACGAAUGGCGUAAUGAUUUGGAAGCUGUCUCGAGGAGGGACUCGGCGAAAUAGCAAUGUCUGUGAAGAUGCGGACUACCUGUGCCAGGACAUUAAGACCCUAUGAAGCUUUACUGUAUCUUGACAUUGAAUCUUGAUUUUAUUUGCGCAGAAUAGGUGGGAGACUAUGAGUAUUCUCUUAUGGGGGGAUAGGAGUCAUCGUUGAGAUACCACUCUUGUAAAAUUGAUAUUCUAACUUCAUACCGUUAGCCGGUUGAAAGACAGUGUCAGGUGGGCAGUUUGACUGGGGCGGUCGCCUCCCAAAAGGUAACGGAGGCGCACAAAGGUUUCCUCAGAUCGUUCAGAAAUCGAUCUUAGAGUGUAAAGGCAAAAGGAAGCUUAACUGUGAGACCUACAAGUCGAGCAGAGACGAAAGUCGGUCUUAGUGAUCUGACGCUGCUGUGUGGAAAGGGCGUCACUCAACGGAUAAAAGUUACUCUAGGGAUAACAGGCUGAUCUCCCCCAAGAGUUCCUAUCGACGGGGAGGUUUGGCACCUCGAUGUCGGCUCAUCGCAUCCUGGGGCGGUAGUACGUCCCAAGGGUUGGGCUGUUCGCCCAUUAAAGCGGUACGCGAGCUGGGUUCAGAACGUCGUGAGACAGUUCGGUCCAUAUCCGGCAUGGGCGUUUGAGUAUUGAGAGUGACCUUUCUCUAGUACGAGAGGACCGAGAAAGAUAUACCGCUAGUGUACCAGUUAUCGUGCCAUCGGUAAACGCUGGGUAGCUAUGUAUAGUUAGGAUAACCGCUGAAGGCAUCUAAGUGGGAAGCCGUCCUCAAGAUGAGUACUCAUAGGUUGCGGCAAGACGAGCCGUUUGAUAGGCAUCCGGUGUACGUGCAGUAAUGUAUUUAGCCUAGAUGUACUAAUAACCAUAUUUUUAAGCAAUAUUUA